UAGUUGCUAGGUGUAGACCCGAAACCCGGUGAUCUAGCCAUGGGCAGGUUGAAGGUUGAGUAACAUCAACUGGAGGACCGAACCGACUAAUGUUGAAAAAUUAGCGGAUGACUUGUGGCUGGGGGUGAAAGGCCAAUCAAACCGGGAGAUAUCUGGUUCUCCUCGAAAGCUAUUUAGGUAGCGCCUCGGACGAACACCUUUGGGGGUAGAGCACUGUUAAGGCUAGGGGGUCAUCCCGACUUACCAACCCUUUGCAAACUCCGAAUACCAAAGAGUGCUAUCCGGGAGACAGACGGCGGGUGCUAACGUCCGUCGUCAAAAGGGAAACAACCCAGACCGUCAGCUAAGGUCCCAAAGUAAUUGCUAAGUGGGAAACGAUGUGGGAAGGCUUAGACAGCUAGGAUGUUGGCUUAGAAGCAGCCAUCAUUUAAAGAAAGCGUAAUAGCUCACUAGUCGAGUCGGCCUGCGCGGAAGAUGUAACGGGGCUAAGCAAUUCACCGAAGCUACGGGUACUGAUGCUUGCAUCAGUGCGGUAGAGGAGCGUUCUGUAAGCCGUUGAAGGCGAAGGGGUAACCCACGCUGGAGGUAUCAGAAGUGCGAAUGCUGACAUGAGUAACGAUAAAGGGGGUGAAAAACCCCCUCGCCGAAAGACCAAGGGUUCCUGUCCAACGUUAAUCGGGGCAGGGUGAGUCGACCCCUAAGGCGAGGCUGAAAGGCGUAGUCGAUGGGAAACGGGUUAAUAUUCCCGUACUUCUGCUAACUGCGAUGGAGAGACGGAGAAGGCUAGGCCGGCGCGGCGUUGGUAGUCCGCGUUUAAGGUAGUAGGUGGUGUGCUUAGGCAAAUCCGGGCACACAUACACUGAGAGCUGACGACGAGUCCCUAAGGGGAUGAAGUGGUUGAUGCCAUGCUUCCAGGAAAAUCUUCUAAGCUUCAGGUUAGCAGGAAUCGUACCCCAAACCGACACAGGUGGUCGGGUAGAGAAUACCAAGGCGCUUGAGAGAACUCGGCUGAAGGAACUAGGCAAAAUGGUACCGUAACUUCGGGAGAAGGUACGCUCCUGUUGGUGAUGAGACUUGCUCUCUGAGCUGACGGGAGUCGCAGAUACCAGGUGGCUGCAACUGUUUAUCAAAAACACAGCACUGUGCAAAAUCGCAAGAUGACGUAUACGGUGUGACGCCUGCCCGGUGCCGGAAGGUUAAUUGAUUGGGUUAUCUUCGGAGAAGCUCAUGAUCGAAGCCCCGGUAAACGGCGGCCGUAACUAUAACGGUCCUAAGGUAGCGAAAUUCCUUGUCGGGUAAGUUCCGACCUGCACGAAUGGCGUAAUGAUGGCCACGCUGUCUCCAGCCGAGACUCAGUGAAGUUGAAAUUGCGGUGAAGAUGCCGUAUACCCGCGGCUAGACGGAAAGACCCCGUGAACCUUUACUAUAGCUUGGCACUGAACAUUGACCCUACAUGUGUAGGAUAGGUGGGAGACUAUGAAGAUGAGACGCCAGUCUUGUUGGAGUCAACCUUGAAAUACCACCCUUGUAGUGUUGAUGUUCUAACCUGGGCCCCUAAUCGGGGUUAGGGACAGUGCCUGGUGGGUAGUUUGACUGGGGCGGUCUCCUCCCAAAGAGUAACGGAGGAGCACGAAGGUUGGCUAAGUACGGUCGGACAUCGUACGGUUAGUGUAAUGGCAUAAGCCAGCUUAACUGCGAGACAGACACGUCGAGCAGGUGCGAAAGCAGGUCAUAGUGAUCCGGUGGUUCUGAAUGGAAGGGCCAUCGCUCAACGGAUAAAAGGUACUCCGGGGAUAACAGGCUGAUACCGCCCAAGAGUUCAUAUCGACGGCGGUGUUUGGCACCUCGAUGUCGGCUCAUCACAUCCUGGGGCUGAAGUCGGUCCCAAGGGUAUGGCUGUUCGCCAUUUAAAGUGGUACGCGAGCUGGGUUCAGAACGUCGUGAGACAGUUCGGUCCCUAUCUGCCGUGGGCGUUGGAUGAUUGAGGGGAGCUGCUCCUAGUACGAGAGGACCGGAGUGGACGAACCGCUGGUGUUCGGGUUGUCAUGCCAAUGGCAUUGCCCGGUAGCUACGUUCGGAAUCGAUAACCGCUGAAAGCAUCUAAGCGGGAAGCGAGCCCCAAGAUGAGUCAUCCCUAGGGCCUGGAGCCCUCUGAAGAGCCGUUCGAGACCAGGACGUUGAUAGGCAGGGUGUGUAAGCGUUGCGAGGCGUUGAGCUAACCUGUACUAAUGACUCGAGAGGCUUAACCAUACAACCCAGAUGGGUUUU
RNAcentral lists this ribosomal RNA (2268 nucleotides) under Shewanella algae. RNAcentral's name for it is "partial 23S ribosomal RNA". It matches the Rfam family "Bacterial large subunit ribosomal RNA", at positions 697 to 2925 of the family's 2925-position model. Lineage: Bacteria; Pseudomonadati; Pseudomonadota; Gammaproteobacteria; Alteromonadales; Shewanellaceae. The record is from RNAcentral.